CUAUGGGCAAACACUUGAGGAGGAGACCGAAGAACUCAAUUCUCACGUUAUUGUUAGAAGAAACUCCAAGAGAAGCCUAAAGAGGAGAGGAGGAGAAGGAGGUGGAGAUGAGCAGCUGUGUAUCCACCAACAGCCUGGAGGUGGGAGGUGAAGGAUUGACUCAGAAAAGCAGUCAAGAUUUAAUUAAAGACCCAGGCGUGGAGACGCUCAUGUGAGGGGAACAAAGAAGACUCACCUGUAACUUCCUGGAACCGUGUACUAAUCAACAGAGAAGAUCUCCUGGAGGAAGACCAUUUACUUAAGUCUCUUAAGUCAUGGAGCCAUCCACCCCUUUCUCCUUAAGGGCAUAUCUCUUACUUCCUUUUGGCCAAGGGAGAAGAGGAAAGAAAAAGAAAAAGAAGAGUGAACGAUAGCUUCAAGACUAAAAUGACCACGGAAAAAGAAGAUGCUGGCUAUGCAGCAUGGAAGAAAGUCAUUGGAUGAUGUGUUUCCUCCAUUCACCUAUCCCACUUUCUCUUUCCAUUUUCACCUCAAUUGGAAGAUUGGAGAGGCUGAGCAGUAAAUUCCGAGUCCCAGC
Lynx canadensis (Canada lynx) is the source of this 577-nucleotide long non-coding RNA. RefSeq lists it as uncharacterized. NCBI's taxonomy places the organism in Eukaryota, Metazoa, Chordata, Mammalia, Carnivora, Felidae. The transcript has 3 exons. The record is from RefSeq and is a predicted model, not a curated record.